AUUACCUCAAAUGCAUUUAAAGGUACACAAAUAAAAUAAUAUCAAAUAAUUUAAGCAGUAUAGAUUUUGAUAAACAAUUAUUCAGAUACAUUAAAACUUAAAUACAAGUUACAUUGUGAGUGAUCAUUUCUAUUUUAUGAUCAGUUCUUUACUCUAUUAUUGAAUCCAUAUUUAGAUGAUGUGAAAUCGAAUUGACCAGUUAUGUUUUAGGAUACACUGGGAAGGGGUGAGUGGGCACUGGGAUAGCCCAGGGAAUACAGGCUGAGCAGAAUACCACCAUGGCAAUCAGACCUAGGCAUUGCUAGUGUAGUGAGUGUGUAUGUGCAUUAGUGCUGGUAUGUUCCCAGUGAAUUGACCCUUUACAGCUUUGCUGAGCUCAGACUAAAAAUGAUUUUCUGCAUUUUAUGCGAAGAGACCAACUGAAAGGCAGGGGUGCAGGGGUGGUUUCCAUCUGUGGCAGUGAGCUGUCUAUAUAAUGGGGAGCUAUUAUCAGCAAGACACAAGUGCUAAUUACCAGUCACAGCUAUAGGGGAGGGGGCUGGGCACUGAGAGACGAAUAAUAGUGGUGGGAAUGGAAAGGACAGAGAGAUAAAUAAAAUGCACCCUAAAAUUAAGAGAAAAGUCAACAGUUAUCAUGGUAGGUGGAGGGGGAGGACAGUAAGAAAACAAUGCUGCAAAAAAUAAAAAUAAAAUGUUUAAUAUUUAGAUUAUUUUUUUCUUGAAACACAACACUGUAAUUAAAUGUAAUGUAAAUAUCACUGAUGACAUAUACACAAUAAAUAGGGUUCUCAUUGUACUGGGAAUUUUCUGUGAAUGUAUUUUCUGUUUAAAAUGUAUAUACAUGUUUAGGCAUAUGGAAGAAUAGAGAACCUUACAUUUAUUGAAGCAUUUUGAAAAAUCUUAUUUUAACAUUUUGCUCUGAAGUUACAAAGUAAACACAUCAUUAUUAUUGCUAGGCAUGGUUAACGUUGUGAUUGCAUUAUAUGAACUUUGUUUUGUGGAUUUAUAAGUGUAAAUUAUGGCACAUUGAGGGAGAAAAAAAAAUCAGAUUGCAGCUUCAUUAAGGCAUUGGAGGAACAAUGAAAUCACAGGCACAUUAGCCCACCUGAGCUUAAAGAAACUCUUCUAGAGUGUUAUUUACUAAGCUUCGAAUUGCUGCGAAUUAGUUCAAAUGGUUAAAUCCUUGCAAAAAGUAUAAUAUGAAGAUUUUCUGCAAAUCAGCCAUAGACACAGUUUAGCAAAGUUAGUCUUAAAUGUGCCAUGCGAAGUUUAGUUAAUAAACACGUGUGUAGUUAAACCAUGAAUUAGAUCCCAGCUUGGUGUAGUGGCAGUCAGGGUGCUGUCCAGUGUGAUGGUGCUGAAAUGUACUGCGAUUUGUUUAAAUUCACUGCAUUGCUUUGUCAACAGUUAAGAUCCAUUGAAAUAUUAUAUGACCGCUUUUAGCAAAGACAUUUUAACGAAUGACACUUUCAGAUUCAAUAAUGGUGCUUUUUUGUGAAUAUACCUGGACAGUAAUCAAAAUAAAAAAUUUCACACAAAGAGUUGAAUCCAGUCUGUUUAAAUGUGGUUCAAAUUCCCUGUACGAAAUUUUAUUCCCAUAUGUGAC
This 1606-nucleotide long non-coding RNA is filed under the name Pelobates cultripes (western spadefoot toad). The record is from RNAcentral. Lineage: Eukaryota; Metazoa; Chordata; Amphibia; Anura; Pelobatidae.